Long non-coding RNA from Ictalurus punctatus (channel catfish), 2644 nucleotides. The record is from Ensembl. Lineage: Eukaryota; Metazoa; Chordata; Actinopteri; Siluriformes; Ictaluridae.
CACACACACACACACAACAAAACACGCGGCGUAGAAAUGGCUGUAAACUGAUAUAAAGCGAGCUCUUUGCGGCUUUAGCCCCUCGUCCACAUGUGAGAGAGGAGUGAAGGAGAGAGGAGGAGAGAGGAGUGGAGGAGAGAGGAGUGGAGGAGUGAGUGCGCCGCGCCGCGCAACAUCAUUUCCACAUUUGGUCUCGUCACGGAGAGAGCCGGAGCACACCGAGCCGAGCCGAACCGAGCCGAGCUUGGACACGGACAUGGACUUGAUACAUUUCUAAGGAUCCUAGCUGUGAUCUCGGGUCGCUGUUGCUUUUACCCCCGACUCCAGUCCACUGAAGAAUUUCCUCGGCGGUUCACACGUCUCCUGGACGCAUUGCUACCCCGACAGCGUCUCACCCUCGCUUCCAAACGGACUGCUGGAGAUAUCCUGAUUUCUUUUUUCCAUCACAUCGCAUAAAUAUUCCUAUAUAUAUAUAUAUGUAUAUGUAUAUAUCUAUAUAUACAUAUGCAUAUUCCUAAUUCUGUAUCAAGGAACUGGUGCGUUUUGAGAAUGAGACGUCACACACUACACUAACCGUCUCCUUCACGUGCGCUGAGCGUUAAGAAUAUGACCUAACGUGCCGGAUUUUCUAUUCUUUUUUUUUUUUUUUUUUUUUGGCUUUUUUUUUGUGUGUGUUGUUGUUGUUGUUGUCUUUCUUGGAUUCGCCAUGUGUCUCUCCUUUCAUUUGGGACUGCUUUAUUCUGGAAGACUCGGUUUGAUCAAUUUUUAAUCCUUUAUGCGUCGGCGAAAUAAAGAGGAAACAGAACAAGAGCGACGGAUCAACCGCAGAGACGAGAAAGAGGGGUAAAGAAAUAUAUAAAUAUAUAUAUAUACAUCUAUAUUGACGUGUAUAUAUAAUAAAACAACAAUAACAAGAAACAAAAAAACAAAAAUAAAUAAAUAAAUUAAAAAAAAAAUAAAAAAAAAAAAAACCCCACCGGGACGUUAAUAAGGGAGAGAUGAAUGUAUGAGACGCAGUGAAGACUGGAAGAAAGGAGACUGGAGGAGUGAAGGUAAGCAGGGUUAUGAAACAAGGUGUCCAUCACUAUGGCAUACUAAACACCAAGCUAGGACACCGUGCAUGCUCCAGACUCCAGGCUUUCAAACACUAUCAUCAUCAUCAUCAUCAUCAUCAUAAGUUGCUUAUGAAAUAUGGAUGUGUGUGAUGUGUCAGGAUCUCUGGUGAAAAACAAGGACGUCUUUAUUUAUCUAUGUAUGUAUGUAUUUAUUUGUUUAUUUAUUUAUUUUCGCCGAGUCAGUACAUCACGAGACAGACGUAACGUUUUGUUUUUUUUGUUUGUUUGUUUGGUUUUUUUCUUCCCUUUCCUAUGGCUUUCAUGUGACAUUGGCUCCAUGUGCAAGAGCAAGCACACACUUUUAAACGUGUAACAAUUCUAACACUCGACCGAUGGGCCAACCGUUAGGAUUUUAACUGGUUUUUUUUUUGUGUGUGUUUGUUUUUUUAAAUUUUAAAAAAAAAAUAUUUAAUAAGCUUGUUUGGCUUAUUAAUGUGUGUUUGUGUGUGUGUGUGUGUGACCUGACGUGAACAUCGUACGAUAUAUUCACACUAUAGCGUGUGCGAGACAUCUUUACUGGAUCCGCAAAAGCAUACGUUGAUAUGGGAGAAUAAUUAUGUGUCAUGAUGAUAAUCAAUAAUCAUGUUUCGAAAGAAGUAGCCUCGGUCAGAGCGACGAAAACCAUCCAGUCUUCUGGAGAGAGAGAGAGAGAGAGAGUGUGUGUGUGUGUGUGUGAGAGAGAGAGAGAGAGAUUCAUCAAUAGGCGACACACGGCAGUGUUAUACAAGAAAAAUCCGCAUUAGCUCAAAUACCUAGCUGGUCAUAUGAGAUAAAAAUUACAGGCCACGUCGGAAACCUGGUCAUUUGUAUACUAGCUCGUCAGUAGGACCGUAGUGACUAUGGGUGGAGUAAUAUUUUACAUAUGUAAUAAGCUAUGAACUAUAGUAGGAGGUGGUCAGUGUGAAUGGGCCAACAACAAGGUGACAGAAUGCAGUCACCUGCCAAACUCCCAUGCAGUCAGCUCUCCCCGUCGUACGACAGCUACCGACCGGGGUAACACAUGCUUCCUCCGAGACGUGCGAAGCCAGCCGACAACAUCUGUUCGAACUGCUGUGUCACAGGGCAGCGGAACACACGCACAGAGGGACGCGCUAUCCGCCCUCUUCCGCAUACACGAGCGCCGAAAGACUCCCGCGAUUGGCUAGUGUCGCUGUAAUUAUUGACGAAGGAGCGCUCCACACCGGAUCGGAUCGGACGGAUGCGCACGGCACAUUAGGAUGACACCGGGGUUGUGCACCUGUCUCACCUGAGUAUAGACCCCUCCCCUUUUAUAUUCUCUUAGCUCUCGUGUCAGCUCAGUCUUUCUUUCUGUUUUCCCUCUCUGCCCUCUGUACCUCCAUCAGACCAUAUCAGUGUUGCCAGCAGCUACUAAUGCACAGUAAUGUAGCACCUACUCAUCACAUUCACCUACACACACACACACACACACUUACUCACCAUAAUCUAGUGCAGUCCCACAGCAUCUCAGCUGAGACGAUGUGGUGUGUGUGUGUGUGUGUGUCUGUAUAUAUAUAUAUAUAUAUAUAUAU